UCUGCAACAAGCCAAGGAUCAGGAACAGUGAUUCAGAUAGUGAAAUCUGCUGCAGCAAAACAGCUGUGCAGGGCCUGGGUGGCCACAGAGAACAUGUAGGUGGUCCUCAGCAAGGGUACUUGAAAACAGUGUUUGGGAGAAAAUGGAGAGAGGGGCGAAGAGUUUAGGAAUAAGCUAAUCUACUUAUUUCCAAGGAAACCAUGGAAGUUUACAACUCCUCAUCAUAACUUCUGCCCAAAUGAGUUAAAAUACUCUAUGAGCUCUGCCCAGUAUGCAAAAAUCUGCUAUAUCAAGUUGAAUUCUGCCAGUGCAAGGGACAAGGAAUGCUUUCCUUUUUUUUUCUAACCAGUUGGAUUUAAAAAAAUAUUGUGAACCAUCUUUGGGGCCAGCAUCAUGUUAACUCCUUUGGUGAAUAUGGUGACAUAAAAGGCCUAUUACCUAGCCUUUUAGUAACCUUUCAUCUAGUUAGGACAGGAUCACUCCACAUACAAUAGCCAAGAAUAGGUCAGCUGUAGUCACUAUAUAAGAAAGUAACAAAGAAGAGACUGCAGAGGAAUGCUCUAGUUGUAGCUGAAGAAGGGUUUGUUGGCUGGUGGGAUUCGAACAGGGGAAGUGGGAAAACAUUCCACAUUUUAAAGGAAACAGUACAUACAAAGGAACAAAGAUAGAUGAAGCUUUUCCAAAUUAUCACUCCCCACUGCCAUCACACAUGCAUAGGGUCCUCCUUUCUUAUUUACCAGAACAUCUCAAAGACCACCACUUGGUCAUGGCAUACAAAUGCAGAUUGAGACAUCAUACUACAAGUGUGCUAUAUGAUGGAAAAGGCUCAGCAGGAAGAAAAUUGCAUUUAGAGCUAUUUUGUGGAAAAUGUUCAUACUGAAAAGAGGCCAAAGAUUUAAUGUAGUGAAAAGCAGUUAACAGAAUAUUCCCAAACAAGACAAAUAUUGUUUUAAAGUAUAAAAAAGUAGUUUUAAAGUAAAUACAAUCAACUCUUUAGCCUAAUAAUUUUAAGAUAAUUAUAAUCCUGUUAUACCUCAAAUUACGACUAAAAUAGUCUUCCAUUUAUCUGGCUGACAAAAACCCAAAAAGCUCCAGAAAACAAAGUUUACUCUGCAUGCUGUAGAACAACAUGAGUCUUAAAAACAGAAGUGUAAAACCUCAGGGUUGCUUUCUGAAAACAAGCUGACAGCACACGUACAAGAUUUGUUUUGUUUCAACAGACAUGGAAAACAAACAGCAUGGCUCUAGCUAAAUAUGCACAAAAAUACAGAACUGGAAGUACUUGAAAAACACAAAAGGACAAAAAUCUCAAAAUGGCAGUAAAGAACUUGAAGAAUUCUCAUAGGAUCAAUAACAAAAACACAUAAGAGAACUGAAGAAGCUGCUAAUCCCUAGGUAGUUUACCAGGUGGAAAAACAAGCAUAGGGAAAGGCACACAUUUGAAACACCAGAGGAGCCCGGAACCCCACCAACUGCUCACACCCCACCACCCCCACUGCCCACAGAGAUGCCUGCCGUACAAGACAAAAAUCCUUUAGCAUGCCUAGCUGCUGCUUGUAAAUCACAGAGAACUUGUUUGUGAUGACUGAUUUUUUUUUUUAAACUACAAUUUGUAAAGAAGGAAUCAAUACUGAAAGGAAAGAUUGAGAGAACUGGCAUUUCAUGCCUAACAAACUUUGCCUACUAUUAGCUGCAAUUUACACAUUGCUCUAAGUUUUCAUUUUUCUUCUUCAUCUUUUAUUUUUCUUUUUAAUAAAUGAUGACAGGAGAUUUUUU
This is a long non-coding RNA of Sapajus apella (tufted capuchin), 1776 nucleotides long. RefSeq lists it as uncharacterized. The transcript has 2 exons. The record is from RefSeq and is a predicted model, not a curated record. Lineage: Eukaryota; Metazoa; Chordata; Mammalia; Primates; Cebidae.